UGGCUCAGAUUGAACGCUGGCGGCAGGCCUAACACAUGCAAGUCGAGCGGAAACGAGUUAUCUGAACCUUCGGGGAACGAUAACGGCGUCGAGCGGCGGACGGGUGAGUAAUGCCUAGGAAAUUGCCCUGAUGUGGGGGAUAACCAUUGGAAACGAUGGCUAAUACCGCAUGAUGCCUACGGGCCAAAGAGGGGGACCUUCGG
RNAcentral lists this ribosomal RNA (203 nucleotides) under Vibrio parahaemolyticus. RNAcentral describes it as "partial 16S ribosomal RNA". It matches the Rfam family "Bacterial small subunit ribosomal RNA", at positions 20 to 220 of the family's 1533-position model. Lineage: Bacteria; Pseudomonadati; Pseudomonadota; Gammaproteobacteria; Vibrionales; Vibrionaceae. The record is from RNAcentral.